Molecule: ribosomal RNA, 253 nt
Filed under: uncultured bacterium
Lineage: Bacteria
Description: partial 16S ribosomal RNA
Rfam family: Bacterial small subunit ribosomal RNA
Source: RNAcentral
UACGUAGGAGGCAAGCGUUAUCCGGAAUGACUGGGCGUAAAGGGUGCGUAGGUGGUUUGGCAAGUUGGUAGCGUAAUCCCGGGGCUUAACUUCGGUGCUACUACCAAAACUGCUGGGCUUGAGUGCAGGAGGGGUGAAUGGAAUUCCUAGUGUAGCGGUGGAAUGCGUAGAUAUUAGGAAGAACACCAGCGGCGAAGGCGAUUCACUGGACUGUAACUGACACUGAGGCACGAAAGCGUGGGGAGCAAACAGG